GUAGGGUGCGAGCGUUAUCCGGAAUCAUUGGGCGUAAAGAGCUCGUAGGCGGUUCAGCAAGUCGGCUGUGAAAUUCCGAGGCUCAACCUCGGAACUGCAGUCGAUACUGUUGUGACUCGAGUCCGGUAGAGGAGAAUGGAAUUCCCGGUGUAGCGGUGAAAUGCGCAGAUAUCGGGAGGAACACCAGUAGCGAAGGCGGUUCUCUGGGCCGGCACUGACGCUGAGGUGCGAAAGCGUGGGGGUAGCAAACAGGAUUAGAUACCCUGGUAGUCCACGCCGUAAACGUUGGAUACUAGGUGUGGGGUUCCGACCAACGGUCCCCCCCCCGUGCCGAAGCUAACGCAUUAAGUAUCCCCGCCUGGGGAGUACGGCCGCAAGGCUA
RNAcentral lists this ribosomal RNA (382 nucleotides) under uncultured organism. Its description in RNAcentral is "partial 16S ribosomal RNA". It matches the Rfam family "Bacterial small subunit ribosomal RNA", at positions 527 to 896 of the family's 1533-position model. The record is from RNAcentral.